AUGACAUAAGGUUUCGUGGAAGAUAGGAAUAGAAUCAUUCUCCAACGUACAAUUUAAAAUGAAUAGAUCUUACACUUAGACACACUACUCGACUAUGCCCCAAAUAAUAAAUAAAAGAAUACUUCAUUAUUUCCUAAUUGAAAUUCCCCCAUAACACACCUAACUACAAGAGUUUGAGUCCCAGUACAUAGUGUUUUUAUGUUGAAGCCUAACUUAGAGUAAACAGGUGCUAACUUGAGCUACAGGACCCUGUUCUCUACAUCACAUUAAGAAUAUUACUUUACCUUAUCACUACCAUCAAACUCACUCAAGUUUUAAAUCAAGGAGUACCAACCACAUAACACAUUGAUUUGCAUUUUCAUCAAUCACAACAUUCGAGCCUAUCGUUACUAUAACC
RNAcentral lists this long non-coding RNA (397 nucleotides) under Capsicum annuum. RNAcentral's name for it is "long non-coding RNA (CANN_LNC001559)". The record is from RNAcentral. Lineage: Eukaryota; Viridiplantae; Streptophyta; Magnoliopsida; Solanales; Solanaceae.